This 450-nucleotide ribosomal RNA is filed under the name uncultured prokaryote. Its description in RNAcentral is "bacterial SSU rRNA". It matches the Rfam family "Bacterial small subunit ribosomal RNA", at positions 355 to 796 of the family's 1533-position model. The record is from RNAcentral.
UGGGGAAUAUUGGACAAUGGGCGAAAGCCUGAUCCAGCCACGCCGCGUGAGUGACGAAGGCCUUCGGGUUGUAAAGCUCUGUGGGAAGGGACGAAAAAGCUUAGUUCAAAUAGGGCUAGGUGUUGACGGUACCUUCUUAGCAAGCACCGGCUAACUCUGUGCCAGCAGCCGCGGUAAUACAGAGGGUGCAAACGUUGCUCGGAAUUACUGGGCGUAAAGCGCGUGUAGGCGGGCAGUCAAGUCGGGUGUGAAAUCCCUGGGCUCAACCCAGGAACUGCAUCCGAAACUGAUUGCCUUGAGUACUGGAGAGGGAAGCGGAAUUCCUGGUGUAGAGGUGAAAUUCGUAGAUAUCAGGAGGAACACCGGUGGCGAAGGCGGCUUCCUGGACAGUAACUGACGCUGAGACGCGAAAGCGUGGGGAGCAAACAGGAUUAGAUACCCCCGUAGUCC